This 77-nucleotide transfer RNA is filed under the name Herbaspirillum huttiense. It matches the Rfam family "tRNA". Rfam says of the family: Transfer RNA (tRNA) molecules are approximately 80 nucleotides in length. The record is from RNAcentral. RNAcentral also lists the same sequence under 4 other names. Lineage: Bacteria; Pseudomonadati; Pseudomonadota; Betaproteobacteria; Burkholderiales; Oxalobacteraceae.
GGGCCUGUAGCUCAGUUGGUCAGAGCGUCCGACUCAUAAUCGGCUGGUCGUGGGUUCAAGUCCCGCCGGGCCCACCA